RNAcentral lists this ribosomal RNA (465 nucleotides) under uncultured bacterium. RNAcentral describes it as "partial 16S ribosomal RNA". It matches the Rfam family "Bacterial small subunit ribosomal RNA", at positions 28 to 507 of the family's 1533-position model. The record is from RNAcentral.
GACGAACGCUGGCGGCGUGCUUAACACAUGCAAGUCGUACGGUAAGGCCCUCUCGGGGGUACACGAGUGGCGAACGGGUGAGUAACACGUGAGUAACCUGCCCACAACUUUGGGAUAACGCUAGGAAACUGGUGCUAAUACUGGAUAUGUGCUCCUGCUGCAUGGUGGGGGUUGGAAAGCUCCGGCGGUUGUGGAUGGACUCGCGGCCUAUCAGCUUGUUGGUGGGGUAGUGGCCUACCAAGGCGGCGACGGGUAGCCGGCCGGGGAGGGUGACCGGCCACAUUGGGACUGAGAUACGGCCCAGACUCCUACGGGAGGCAGCAGUGGGGAAUAUUGCACAAUGGGCGCAAGCCUGAUGCAGCAACGCCGCGUGCGGGAUGACGGCCUUCGGGUUGUAAACCGCUUUCAGCAGGGACGAAGCUUUUUGUGACGGUACCUGCAGAAGAAGCACCGGCUAACUACGUG